RNAcentral lists this ribosomal RNA (710 nucleotides) under uncultured diatom. RNAcentral's name for it is "SSU rRNA". It matches the Rfam family "Eukaryotic small subunit ribosomal RNA", at positions 411 to 1137 of the family's 1831-position model. The record is from RNAcentral. Lineage: Eukaryota; Bacillariophyta.
CUAGUCAUAUGGAUUGGCGCGCAAAUUACCCAAUCCCGACACAGGGAGGUAGUGACAAGAAAUACCAAUAUGAGGCUUCAUGUCUUGUAAUUGGAAUGAGAACAAUUUAAAUCCCUUAUCGAGUAUCAAUUGGAGGGCAAGUCUGGUGCCAGCAGCCGCGGUAAUUCCAGCUCCAAUAGCGUAUAUUAAAGUUGUUGCAGUUAAAAAGCUCGUAGUUGGAUUUCUGGCAGGGGUGAGCGGCCACACACUAUGUGUGUGAGCUUGCUUACUCCGCCAUCCUUGAGGAGAUCCUAUUUGGCAUUAAGUUGUCGGGUAGGGGAUACUCAUCGUUUACUGUGAAAAAAUUAGAGUGUUUAAAGCAGGCUUAUGCCGUUGAAUAUAUUAGCAUGGAAUAAUAAGAUAGGACUUUGAGUCUAUUUUGUUGGUUUGCGAGUCAAAGUAAUGAUUAAUAGGGACAGUUGGGGGUAUUCGUAUUUCAUUGUCAGAGGUGAAAUUCUUGGAUUUCCGAAAGACGAACUACUGCGAAAGCAUUUACCAAGGAUGUUUUCAUUAAUCAAGAACGAAAGUUAGGGGAUCGAAGAUGAUUAGAUACCAUCGUAGUCUUAACCAUAAACUAUGCCGACUCAGGAUUGGCGGUUGUUUUUUGACUCCGUCAGCACUGUAUGAGAAAUCAAAGUCUUUGGGUUCCGGGGGGAGUAUGGUCGCAAGGC